This 511-nucleotide ribosomal RNA is filed under the name Phyllobaenus testaceus. RNAcentral's name for it is "partial 16S ribosomal RNA". The stretch from base 388 to 511 matches the Rfam family "Bacterial large subunit ribosomal RNA", at positions 2473 to 2597 of the family's 2925-position model. Lineage: Eukaryota; Metazoa; Arthropoda; Insecta; Coleoptera; Cleridae. The record is from RNAcentral.
UGUCCUUUUGAAUAUAAUUUAAGGUCUAAUCUGCCCACUGAAAUAUUUUAAAUGGCCGCGGUAUACUGACCGUGCAAAGGUAGCAUAAUAAUUAGUUUCUUAAUUAGAAGCUGGAAUGAAAGAUUGAAUGAGAAAAUAACUGUCUCAAUUUAAUUUUUUUAGAAUUUUAUUUUUAAGUUAAAAAGCUUAAAUAUAAUUAAAAGACGAGAAGACCCUAUAGAGUUUGAUUUUAUUGUUAAAUAAAAUUUUAUUGAUUAUAAUUUUUUUAUUUAAUAAUAGAAUUUUGUUGGGGUGACAAAAAAAUUUAAUUAACUUUUUUUAUAUAAAAACAUUAAUAAAUGAAUAUUUGAUCCAAUAAUUUUGAUUAAAAGAUUAAAUUACCUUAGGGAUAACAGCGUAAUUUUUUUUAAGAGUUCUUAUCGAAAAAAAAGAUUGCGACCUCGAUGUUGGAUUAAAGUUUAAUUUUGGUGUAGAAGCUAAAAAUUUAGGUCUGUUCGACCUUUAAAACUUU